AGGUUAAGCUACAAAGAGCACACGGAGGAUGCCUAGGCGCCAGGAGCCGACGAAGGACGUGGCGAACAACGAUAAGGCCUCGGGGAGCUGUAAGCAAGCUUUGAUCCGGGGAUGUCCGAAUGGGGAAACCCGGCUGUCUUCAUCGACAGUCACUUUCUGCUGAAUACAUAGGCAGAAUAGAGGCAGACCAGGGGAACUGAAACAUCUAAGUACCCUGAGGAAGAGAAAACAAUAGUGAUUCCGUCAGUAGCGGCGAGCGAACGCGGAUUAGCCCAAACCAAGGAGCUUGCUCCUUGGGGUUGUGGGACGUCUCACAUGGAGUUACAAAGGAACCGGUUAGAUGAAGAGGUCUGGAAAGGCCCGCCAGAGAAGGUAAAAGCCCUGUAGUUCAAAACUUGUUCUCUCCGAGACGGAUCCCGAGUAGUGCGGGGCACGUGAAACCCCGUAUGAAUCCGGCAGGACCAUCUGCCAAGGCUAAAUACUCCCUGGCGACCGAUAGUGAAGCAGUACCGUGAGGGAAAGGUGAAAAGCACCCCGGAAGGGGAGUGAAAUAGAUCCUGAAACCGUGUGCUUACAAGAAGUCAGAGCCCGAUCUAUGGGUGAUGGCGUGCCUUUUGUAGAAUGAACCGGCGAGUUACGUUCCCGUGCAAGGUUAAGGUGAAGAGCUGAAGCCGCAGCGAAAGCGAGUCUGAAUAGGGCGAAUGAGUACGUGGACGUAGACCCGAAACCGGGUGAUCUACCCCUGUCCAGGGUGAAGGUGCGGUAACACGCACUGGAGGCCCGAACCCACGCAUGUUGAAAAAUGCGGGGAUGAGGUGGGGGUAGCGGAGAAAUUCCAAUCGAACCCGGAGAUAGCUGGUUCUCCCCGAAAUAGCUUUAGGGCUAGCCUCGGAAAUAGAAUCGUGGAGGUAGAGCACUGAUUGGGUGCGGGGCCCGCAAGGGUUACCAAGCUCAGUCAAACUCCGAAUGCCAUAGAUUUAGUUCCGGGAGUCAGACAGUGAGUGCUAAGAUCCAUUGUCGAAAGGGAAACAGCCCAGACCAUCAGCUAAGGUCCCCAAGUGUGUGUUAAGUGGGAAAGGAUGUGGAGUUGCACAGACAACCAGGAUGUUGGCUUAGAAGCAGCCACCAUUGAAAGAGUGCGUAAUAGCUCACUGGUCGAGUGACUCUGCGCCGAAAAUGUAACGGGGCUAAACACACCACCGAAGCUAUGGCUUGAUGCUUGCAUCAGGGGUAGGGGAGCGUUGAAUGCGGGUUGAAGGUGUACCGUAAGGAGCGCUGGACUGCAUUCAAGUGAGAAUGCCGGUAUGAGUAACGAAAAGAUCUGUGAGAAUCAGAUCCGCCGAAAGCCUAAGGGUUCCUGAGGAAGGUUCGUCCGCUCAGGGUAAGUCGGGACCUAAGGCGAGGCCGAUAGGCGUAGUCGAAGGACAACAGGUCGAAAUUCCUGUACCACCGUAAUCCGUUAUGAGC
Molecule: ribosomal RNA, 1467 nt
Filed under: Paenibacillus polymyxa
Lineage: Bacteria; Bacillati; Bacillota; Bacilli; Caryophanales; Paenibacillaceae
Description: bacterial LSU rRNA
Rfam family: Bacterial large subunit ribosomal RNA
Source: RNAcentral